RNAcentral lists this ribosomal RNA (301 nucleotides) under uncultured bacterium. Its description in RNAcentral is "partial 16S ribosomal RNA". It matches the Rfam family "Bacterial small subunit ribosomal RNA", at positions 509 to 809 of the family's 1533-position model. The record is from RNAcentral.
CAGCAGCCGCGGUAAUACGGAGGGUGCAAGCGUUAAUCGGAAUUACUGGGCGUAAAGAGCUCGUAGGCGGUUUGUCGCGUCUGCCGUGAAAGUCCGGGGCUCAACCCCGGAUCUGCGGUGGGUACGGGCAGACUAGAGUGAUGUAGGGGAGACUGGAAUUCCUGGUGUAGCGGUGAAAUGCGCAGAUAUCAGGAGGAACACCGAUGGCGAAGGCAGGUCUCUGGGCAUUAACUGACGCUGAGGAGCGAGAGCAUGGGGAGCGAACAGGAUUAGAUACCCCCGUAGUCCCUGUCUCUUAUAU